Molecule: long non-coding RNA, 282 nt
Filed under: Phoenix dactylifera (date palm)
Lineage: Eukaryota; Viridiplantae; Streptophyta; Magnoliopsida; Arecales; Arecaceae
Description: long non-coding RNA (PDAC_LNC001899)
Source: RNAcentral
AAAGUACUUUUGGUUUAAGAGUUUCAAAGUAGUCUUAUUUAGAGUUUGUAUAAAUGAACCAAGAACUCCCCCUAUCCUAUCCAAAUGGAUGCCAAAUGAGUUUUAGCUUUGCUCCCCCUUACUCUUGUAUUUCAUUAAGACAAAAUUUUCAAAAGUUUGUGUCAAAGCAAGAGUUUCAAGUCAUGUAUCGAGGCAAGAAAAAUCUUAAUGAUUAUGUGCCAAAUUCAGAUUUUUUUCUUUGUCAAAUGUCUCCCCCUUAAGUGUAUAAUACAUGUCUCCCCC